Molecule: non-coding RNA, 99 nt
Organism: Acanthosepion pharaonis
Lineage: Eukaryota; Metazoa; Mollusca; Cephalopoda; Sepiida; Sepiidae
Source: the annotation of a GenBank genome assembly
UUUGAAACUCCGGUCUCCGUACGAUCACCGAAGUUAAACAACGUCGAGCCUGGUCAGUACCUAGAUGGGUGACUACUUGGGAUUACCAGUUGCUGUAAG